RNAcentral lists this ribosomal RNA (506 nucleotides) under uncultured bacterium. Its description in RNAcentral is "bacterial SSU rRNA". It matches the Rfam family "Bacterial small subunit ribosomal RNA", at positions 46 to 507 of the family's 1533-position model. The record is from RNAcentral.
GCCUAAUACAUGCAAGUCGAACGCAUUGUGGUUGAAAUGAUAUGAAGAACUUGUUCAGAUUUGAUUUUCAACAUUGCAAUGAGUGGCGAACGGGUGAGUAACACGUGGGAAACCUACCUCUUAGCAGGGAUAACAUUUGGAAACAAAUGCUAAUACCGUAUAAUAAUUAAAACCGCAUGGUUUUAGUUUAAAGAUGGUCUUGCUAUCACUAAGAGAUGGUCCCGCGGUGUAUUAGUUAGUUGGUGAGGUAAUGGCUCACCAAGACAAUGAUACAUAGCCGAGUUGAGAGACUGACCGGCCACAAUGGGACUGAGACACGGCCCCAUACUCCUACGGGAGGCAGCAGUAGGGAAUCUUCCACAAUGGACGAAAGUCUGAUGGAGCAACGCCGCGUGUGUGAUGAAGGGUUUCGGCUCGUAAAACACUGUUGUAAGAGAAGAAUGGCAUUGAGAGUAACUGUUCAAUGUGUGACGGUAUCUUACCAGAAAGGAACGGCUAAAUACGUG